RNAcentral lists this ribosomal RNA (539 nucleotides) under Pristimantis frater (Meta robber frog). RNAcentral describes it as "partial 16S ribosomal RNA". It matches the Rfam family "Bacterial large subunit ribosomal RNA", at positions 1900 to 2597 of the family's 2925-position model. The record is from RNAcentral. Lineage: Eukaryota; Metazoa; Chordata; Amphibia; Anura; Strabomantidae.
GUCAGCCUGCCCAGUGGACCCUGUUCAACGGCCGCAGUAUUCUAACUGUGCGAAGGUAGCGUAAUCACUUGUUUUCUAAAUAAAGACCAGUAUGAAAGGCAUCACGAGGAUUAAGCUGUCUCCUCUUUCCAAUCAGUGAACCUAAUCUCCCCGUGAAGAAGCGGGGAUUAAAAUAUAAGACGAGAAGACCCUGUGGAGCUUAAAACCUAUAACACCUGCCUAUUUUUAAUUACACCUCGGUAUUUUACCCUAAAGGCAUCCUGAACAUACGGUUUUUGGUUGGGGUGACCGCGGAGAAAAACUAAUCCUCCACAAUGAAAGGGGACCUCCCCUAAGCAAUAAGUUACAACUUUAUGCAUCAAAAACUGACAUCAUCGACCCAAUAAAUUGAUCAAUGAACCAAGUUACCCCAGGGAUAACAGCACAAUCCGCUUUGAGAGCUCCUAUCGACAAGCGGGCUUAUGACCUCGAUGUUGGAUCGGGAUAUCCUAGUGGUGCAGCCGCUACUAAGGGUUCGUUUGUUCAACGAUUAAAACCCC